UGUGCCGUAGCGCAGAGGUCGUCGCGUCGCCUUCUCAGGGCGGAGGACGCCGGUUCGAUUCCGGCCGGCACACC
RNAcentral lists this transfer RNA (74 nucleotides) under Actinoplanes cyaneus. Its description in RNAcentral is "tRNA-Glu". It matches the Rfam family "tRNA". Rfam says of the family: Transfer RNA (tRNA) molecules are approximately 80 nucleotides in length. Lineage: Bacteria; Bacillati; Actinomycetota; Actinomycetes; Micromonosporales; Micromonosporaceae. The record is from RNAcentral.